This 58-nucleotide transfer RNA is filed under the name Rattus norvegicus (Norway rat). It matches the Rfam family "tRNA", at positions 8 to 63 of the family's 71-position model. Rfam says of the family: Transfer RNA (tRNA) molecules are approximately 80 nucleotides in length. Their secondary structure includes four short double-helical elements and three loops (D, anti-codon, and T loops). The record is from Rfam by way of RNAcentral. Lineage: Eukaryota; Metazoa; Chordata; Mammalia; Rodentia; Muridae.
UGGCUGAGUGGUUAAAAGCACUGGCUGCUCUUCCAGAGGUCCUGAGUUCAAAUCUCAG